RNAcentral lists this ribosomal RNA (200 nucleotides) under uncultured bacterium. Its description in RNAcentral is "partial 16S ribosomal RNA". It matches the Rfam family "Bacterial small subunit ribosomal RNA", at positions 30 to 233 of the family's 1533-position model. The record is from RNAcentral.
AUUGAGCGCUGGCGGCAGGCCUAACACAUGCAAGUCGAGCGCGAAAGUUCUUCGGAAUGAGUAAAGCGGCGGACGGGUGAGUAAUACAUGGGAAUCUGCCUGGUAGUGGGGGACAACGUUUCGAAAGGAACGCUAAUACCGCAUACGCCCUACGGGGGAAAGGGGGGGAUCUUCGGACCUCUCGCUAUCAGAUGAGCCCA